This 207-nucleotide ribosomal RNA is filed under the name uncultured bacterium. RNAcentral describes it as "partial 16S ribosomal RNA". It matches the Rfam family "Bacterial small subunit ribosomal RNA", at positions 1294 to 1500 of the family's 1533-position model. The record is from RNAcentral.
CGGAUUGCAGGCUGCAACCCGCCUGCAUGAAGUUGGAAUUGCUAGUAAUCGCGGAUCAGCAUGCCGCGGUGAAUACGUUCCCUGGCCUUGUACACACCGCCCGUCACACCAUGGGAGCCGGUAAUACCCGAAGUCAGUAGCCUAACCGCAAGGGGGGCGCUGCCGAAGGUAGGAUUGGCGACUGGGGUGAAGUCGUAACAAGGUAAC